UGGGGAAUAUUGGACAAUGGGGGCAACCCUGAUCCAGCAAUGCCGCGUGUGUGAAGAAGGCCUUCGGGUUGUAAAGCACUUUUAUCGGGAACGAAACAUUGUCGGCCAAUACCCGGCAAGACUGACGGUACCCGAGGAAUAAGCACCGGCUAACUCCGUGCCAGCAGCCGCGGUAAUACGGAGGGUGCAAGCGUUAAUCGGAAUUACUGGGCGUAAAGCGUGCGCAGGCGGUUUGUUAAGUCUGCUGUGAAAUCCCCGAGCUCAACUUGGGAAUUGCAGUGGAUACCGGCAAGCUGGAGUACGGUAGAGGAAGGUGGAAUUCCCGGUGUAGCAGUGAAAUGCGUAGAGAUCGGGAGGAACACCAGUGGCGAAGGCGGCCUUCUGGACCAGUACUGACGCUCAUGCACGAAAGCGUGGGGAGCAAACA
Molecule: ribosomal RNA, 427 nt
Filed under: uncultured bacterium
Lineage: Bacteria
Description: bacterial SSU rRNA
Rfam family: Bacterial small subunit ribosomal RNA
Source: RNAcentral